UACGUAGGGGGCAAGCGUUGUCCGGAAUUAUUGGGCGUAAAGCGCGCGCAGGCGGUUCUUUAAGUCUGGUGUCUAAGUGCGGGGCUCAACCCCGUGAUGCACUGGAAACUGGGGAACUUGAGUGCAGAAGAGGAAAGCGGAAUUCCACGUGUAGCGGUGAAAUGCGUAGAGAUGUGGAGGAACACCAGUGGCGAAGGCGGCUUUCUGGACUGUAACUGACGCUGAGGCGCGAAAGCGUGGGGAGCAAACAGG
This 252-nucleotide ribosomal RNA is filed under the name uncultured bacterium. RNAcentral describes it as "partial 16S ribosomal RNA". It matches the Rfam family "Bacterial small subunit ribosomal RNA", at positions 524 to 776 of the family's 1533-position model. The record is from RNAcentral.